ACCUGCGCGUUGGCCAAGCCGAGCCGAGCCGCCAGCCCGUCGCGCUCGGACGGCGCCAGGUACUUCUGGAAGACGAAGCGCCGCUCCAGCUCCAGCACCUGCUGCGCGGUGAACGCCGUGCGUGACUUCCGCCGUCUGCGGCCAGCCGGGUCGGGGCCCAGCGCGCCCGGGGCCGCGCGGCCUGCGGGGACAGGGUGGGGGUCAGCCUCCUAGCCUGGGGGGGUCAGGCUUCGGUCCGCGAGGAGAAGCGGGCGUGGGGUCAAGCCAGAGAGGGGGAGGGUUGGUGCGGAGCCAGAAGGCGAACCGGAGCCAGAGCCGCGGACCCUUCCCGAACUCUGCGAGGGGCGAAGGUGGUGUUUCAUCCCGGGGGGUGGGGCGCAAAGUGGAGCCGGCCUCCAGGGUACCCUUGGGAGGCAGGAGGAUGAGGGCAUCUCGCGGGGUCGGGACACUGGGAAGAAGGCGGGACAAGCCAGAGGAGAACGGGUGCACCGUCUGGAGGCACAGGGCGGGGACUCUGAGGCCUUCCGGAGCGCCUGCUGGAGCGGACUUGCAGAUCCAGGCCGGCACCAGUGGCGGGGGCCGACCAUGGUCAGAGUAGGGGCAGCCAGCUGGCAUGCUCCUAUGGUUGGAGUAUGGGUCCUUCAGCCUGGAGAGGCCCAGAAACCACCCAGCCUCUGCAACGGUGGGAACCACUCACUGCCCGGGAGCAUCAGGGCCACUGGCCAUAGAAGAGUAACCUCAAGUGCAGACUUCAUCUACCCAACCAGAUCCGGAGACAGAACCCCUACAAACCCAACUGCAAAUUCUAAGACCUGGGAUACUCUUUUCCA
This is a long non-coding RNA of Cervus elaphus (red deer), 830 nucleotides long. RefSeq lists it as uncharacterized. The record is from RefSeq and is a predicted model, not a curated record. The transcript has 2 exons. NCBI's taxonomy places the organism in Eukaryota, Metazoa, Chordata, Mammalia, Artiodactyla, Cervidae.